This 255-nucleotide ribosomal RNA is filed under the name uncultured Leptotrichia sp. Its description in RNAcentral is "partial 16S ribosomal RNA". It matches the Rfam family "Bacterial small subunit ribosomal RNA", at positions 99 to 354 of the family's 1533-position model. Lineage: Bacteria; Fusobacteriati; Fusobacteriota; Fusobacteriia; Fusobacteriales; Leptotrichiaceae. The record is from RNAcentral.
CGGACGGGUGAGUAACGCGUAAGAACUUGCCCUUUAGACUGGGAUAACAGAGGGAAACUUCUGAUAAUACUGGAUAAGUUAGUAUAUCGCAUGAUAUGCAAAUGAAAGCUACGGCACUAAAGGAGAGCUUUGCGUCCUAUUAGCUAGUUGGUAAGGUAAGAGCUUACCAAGGCGAUGAUAGGUAGCCGGCCUGAGAGGGUGGACGGCCACAAGGGGACUGAGAUACGGCCCUUACUCCUACGGGAGGCAGCAGGA